UCCUUUGAGAGUGGUUCGAGUGCGCACCACCCCCCUCUACUGUGGAGUGGACGGGAGGGGGGCGGACGGGAGUCCCGGAGGGCGGGGGAGGGGGUCGCCGCACCCCGCCUCCCGCAUUCCUCUCAACAGGCCGUUCUCCGGGGGAGGGGCUGCUCGUGGACGGAACAGGAAGUCGGAUUCUUAAAGACACCUUCAGGAACACAGCGUCCAGGCAAGUUGACUUCAGGUUCACCUCCGGAUUCUCGCUCAUUUCAGGCCUCUUCCUUCUUCCCACUUCUAAGGGGGACGGGGGAGAUGAAGGUGGAAAGGGACGCCUGUCCUGGACUUGGGAGGUGUUGCCCUUGUCCCUGUGUGCUCACUGCUGCUUCUCCACCUGGUCACCGGGGUGCUCGCGCUGUGGCCCCGGUGUGCGCACUUGGCAAGACAGGGUGGAGUGGGAGUGAGGGUCCCUGCCACAGGGUCCCCCCAGGUCCCGCCCCAAGUUGCUAGUCACCUACCUCCAGCUGCUUCUGAUGUAGGAAAGAGGGAGUUGGGGCUCAACACCGAUGGCCAAGGAAGAAUUCUGGAGAUGUCUUUGGUGCAAAAAGAUCAGCAGGCAUGCUUCCGUACCUGCCACCAGUGGCCCUUGCUGAGGGCCCUCCUGUGCACUGUGUCAUCUCAGCUCCCAAAUACCCUCAUUAUUCCCACUUUGUAGAUGAGAAAACUGAGGGAUGAGAUGGGAUUCAUCUGGAAAAAGGGCUCCCAUGGGGCUGCCAUCGGGACAGCAGCCGGGGUCUCGGUCUCAUCUGAAGGCAUCCCGGGCUGGAGGGCCCACUUCUGCGAUGGCGUCCCACACCGCAGUUGGCCGAAGGACUCAGUUUCUCCUCCACUGGCUCUCCAGAAGCCUACUUAAGUGUUCUCAUGACGUGGCUCUUUCUACAGUGAGCGACCAAAGCCAAAACUAUGGGGACCUUUAUCACUAAGGUCUCUGAUAUCAGCAAGUCAACUGACGUCAGCCCACGCUCAGCGGAGGCAAAUUAGGACCCACCGCUGGAAGGAAGAGCAUCAGAGAACUUGUGGACAGAUUUUUAAAACCGUGGCAACAGAUAAAGGGAUGGUGUACCCACUGUUCUUCCGUGACACUGGGAUCUUAGCAUGAUCUCAGCGCAUAGCCCGCUUGUGAAAUUCACCUGGGAUGCUUCUAGACACUCUCCGAGCCGGGGUGCCAACCCCAGGCCCUCUUAAGGACUUGCUCUGAGCAGAGACUGGACAUUUGUGGGUUCGUUUUGUGGGAAGAUCUUAAACUGUAGCCGUAACAUUUCUGUUUCCACCGCAUUUUGUUACUGUGGUAAAACGUGCACAUUGUAAAACAGACCGUUUUAGCCUCUUUCGGAGGUGUGGCUCCGUGGCAAUGGGUUUAUUCAGGUGGUGGACCCCUCCCCUCCAGAAAUGUUCAUUUUCUGAAACUGAAGCCCUACCUGUUCAACCCCAACUCCCCAUUCCUCCCUCCCCAGCCCACAGCGAGGCCAUGUUCCGUCUCUGAGUUCCCCCCGCUCCAGACCCAGCGGAGUGGAUGGAACCCCGGGGCCUCGGGCGUGAUUGACUUAGCACAGUGACGUCAUUGUAGGCACGUCAGAGCUUCAUUGCUGUUGCAGCUGAAUAACCUUCCGUUGUCUGGAUGGACCCCGUUUUGUUUAUGCAUUGUCCGUCAGUGGGCAUUGAAGACAGUAUCCACGUUGGUAUUGUCAAGGCUACCAGGGAUGAAAAACAAGGCCUUAGACGGGGGCCUCACAGUCCUGGCUGCACGUGCCAUUCACCUGGUAGCGGUUCAAAAAAUACCAACGCCCCAUGAGCCUGGCCGACCCCCUGGAUCGGGAUCUCUGCGGGUGGGGGGGACCCAGGAGUCUGUAAGAAUAACCAGUUCCUUCCCCUAGAACGCCAGGGGGUGCGGACUCAUUGCCAAGCCUCUGCUGCCCCCUUGUGGCAUCAUCUGGGAUCCUCCCUCCCCCGGGACUCGCCUGCCUGCUCAUAAGGAGCCCAGGAGGGCCAGGCCCCCAUGCCAUUCCCUGACCACAGCUGCGUCUGGACAAGUCCCUGAGAUCACAGUUACGGAUGCGGGUUAGCUUUGGGGAGCACCUGGAAUUCCUCGGCAGCCUCGGCACUGCUGACAUUUCGAAACCCUACAAAACCACCUCCGUGGAGAGCCACUGCCCCACGAGUGUGUGAUGCCUGCAGGAGGCAAAGCCAGCAGAUGGAGAAGGUGCGGCAGGAGGGCGCUGGCCUGGCCCAGUCGGGGUGGACCCUGGCAUGGUGAGGAAAUGGUGGUUCAGAGAGGUCAUCGGACUUGCCCAAGCCCACACAGCCUGGAGGAGGAAUCACUUCAGUGCAAACUCAGGAUCUUCCCACAAAGCAUCCUGUUUGGUUCUUGGCGGAUAGUUUGGAAGUGGAGGUGGUUGUACCCUUUGAAAGAGGGAGGAAUGGGAACCAGAGAUCGCUUGCCAAGGUCUGGAGAGACUGAGAUGAGUGAGGGGCCCAGGAGAGACCCUAAAAGGAAAAGAUUCAGGAGGCAAUCGCUCUCAGGCUCCCACCCACUCUUGCCUCACUCAGGUCCCAGCCCAGCUGACUGCUUCUUGACCAUAGAACAUGAGAUCGGCAAAAGCCUCUUGUACCAUAAGGCUAGAGCAGUCUCGGAUCCUUCAGAGCUAGACUCGAACCCGUGGUGACAACAGACCGAUAAAGUGACACCUGCUGCAUGAGAGGCAGCAGAGUUCUGGCUCAGCCCCUGAGAUAGUGUCCCUGACCCUUCAUGCUGUGCUGUUUUGGGGUGGGGCUACUUCCUUCCCUGGAGGUGUUUGAGAAUUAGACUCUGCCUUGAAGAGAGUUCCAGGUGGACCUCUGGAGAGAUGGGGAUCACCCCAUCAUCAAACCCAUUUCGUCCUUAAGGUUCUCUUUCCGCUUGUGGUAGGAAUGGAAAACCAUGGCUGGUUUUCUCUGGAUGUAGCCUGGGCCCAGCCUCCACCUGCUGCCAGCCCACCGCGGGCCCCAGGGCCUCUGAGAUCGCCCCUGGCAUGAGAGUAACCGUAUUUUAUCAAACACAUCUGCCAAGGGGACAUUGCCUUUAGCGAUCAACAUCUCAUGCCUCACUGAGCCCUCACCGGUCUUUAGAGGCAAGGACUUGGUUGUCUCCACAUUCUAGAUGAGGACACUGGGGCCCAGAGAAGGUGAGCAACCUGGCCAGAGGCGGGAUUUGAACCCACAACUCCAGAGGCACAUUCCUCACCGUGAUAUCCCGCCCCUCCAUUUCCCAUGAGCUCUGAGCUUGCUGAGGGCUGGCCACUAGACUGGGGAAACCCACUGUCCUGUGGACCUUGGGGAUCCCCAAGGCUGGAGGCCUGGAGGUCCCCAGAAUUCUAGAGAGUUUUCAGGAGGUCACUGUAGGGUUAAAGCAGGUUCUAUCUUCCCCCGACUUCCUUGGGUGGGAGGUUCCCAGAAGUACAGGGCCGGCUCGGUGGUGGCCCCUUUUCCCGCGAGGGGAGGGAGAGAUAGGAGUUGGGACAUGUCCUCUUUGAAGGUUUUCUCUUGCUGCUCUGACCACUUCCUCUUUUCCCUGGGGCGGAGGCCACUGUGUCGGCACUAAUAGCAGCCCUGAGGCCUUUGUGUCUCUCCUGGAAGGGCUCGGCUGCCUGGGCAAAGAGCCCUUUUCCACCAGCACUUCCAUCCCCGCCCCUCCAGGGCCUCCCCUGAGCCCCCGGGGGCAGGGAGUGGGCUGCCUGAGCUCUCCCUCAGCCAGACUGAAAACACUGCCUACCCGCUCUGGCUGCCCACCCUCCUUACAGGCUCCACGGGGGCUGAAACUGCCUCCAGAAACUUCCAUGGAGGAUGUGGCCCAAGUUCAUGACUCCUGAACUCCAGCCAGACCGGUCUGGAUGCUCAGGGAGGUGAGGACCCCGGCCCUGGGUAAGUGCUCCAGCCUAGCCCUGGGCAUCUCAACCAUGAGUGCCCCUGGUGGGCUGAGGAGCUGCGGCCUGGGAAGAAGAUGGGCUUUGAGAAAUGUGCACUUGGCCAGGUUGCUUUUCUUCUUGGACCUCAGUUUUCCCAUCCAUGCAAUGGGCACAAAGAAGACCCCUUCCAGAGGUUGCAGAAAUAAACGUGGUGCUGUAUGUGUCGUGUUAGGCAGAGAGCCUGGGACACAGCAAGGGUUUAGGGCCUAGCCUGGGUCCGGCAGAGCCUGCAGCGGGUCUGAGCCACCCAGGGCUCACCCCUCUCCCCCAGGCCCUGCUGAGGGAACCCAGUCGCAGCUCCCCCAGUCUGUUCCCCACCUCCGCCUGUCCCAGCAUCCCUCGCUUCCCUCCUGUAGCAGAUACAGCCCUCAAGCUCAGCUUGACAGGGAGUGUGACCGCUGCUCUGUGGCUUGUAGGCUCCCCAGCCCCUCUAGCCAGUCAGGUCAAACAGCAAAUGUCAGUCCCUGUUGGGGUGUGCCCAGCCCAGCGCUAUCCCAAAGCCCUAGGUCAAGGUUUGUUUCAUUGUGGUAAAAUAUGUGUAACAUAAAAUGAACCAUCUUUAACCAUUAAGUGUACAGUUCGUGGCUUUAAGGACACUCACACUGUUGUGCAACCGUCACCAUUCUCCACCUCCAGAACUUUCUCAUCUUCCUGGACUAAAAGUCCGUCCUUGUUCAACACAACUCCCCACCCCUGGCCCCAGCCCCAGCAGCCACCCCUCUGCUUUCUGUCUUGACCCAUUGGACCGCCCUCCGUCCUUCUAUAUGGGAUCCUACAGACUUGGCCUUUUUGUCACUGGUUUAUUUCAAUUAGCAUAAUGUCCUCAAGGUUCCUCCCUGUUGGAGCAUGAGUCAGAAUUUCCAUCCUUUCUCUGUUUGAAUAUCGUCUCCUUCUCUGUUGAGACCAAGUUGUGCUCAUUCGCCUAACCCUCAGGGUCCUAACCCUCAGGGGACCCUUGGCUAGCUCACACACCCUGGCUGUCUCGAACAAUGUGUGAGCAACACACACGGGUGUGCAAAUGUCUGAGACCCAGUUUUCAGUUCUUUGGGGGUGUAUACCUAGAAGUGGAAUUUCUAGAUCAUGUGGUGAUUAUGUUCAACUUUUUUGAGGAACUGCCCAAAGUCUUGGGGUUUCAAGUAGGACACAAACAUUGGGGAAGGCCCCUCAGGCCACACUGUGGACAGGGAGAUACAGAAUCAGGAGCUAGACAUCAUGGGUUCAAAUCCUGGUUCUGCCACUUCCCGAGGGGGUGACCUUGGGUGGGUCACUUACCCUCUGUGCAUCAGUGUCUCAGCUGUACUGUGGGAUGCGGGCAGCAGCUGCCUUGUGGGGCUGAGGUGGUGCGGGGAGCAUGUCCUUAGAACGGUGCCUGGGCCCCAGAAGCUCUGGUAACCGUUCGCUCUGUGUUGUUCCAGGGAUCUGAUCCUGCGAACCCGCUGCUUCCGUGGCCCUCCCCCAGCUUGGCCCCUCCAUAGAGCAUCCUUUUGGAGUCAGCCCUCUUCCCUCCCCAGGACUCUGAUUUCUUUCCCCCCUCUUUUCCAGGUCCCUGCGACUCUGUCUUCAAUGAGGGAGUUUCUCUUUCCCUGUCCAUGGUUAACCUCUUGAGGAAAAAAGAAAUCAGGAAGCAAUGGCUCCGACUAACUCUGGGAGGGCCUGAGCGCAGGAGGGGAAACCAAGGCCGAUCGAUGGUCAUGGGCACAGGAGAAGAGGAGCCAUUUCUUCCUUUGACCUUGAUCAUGCCAUUCUCCUGUGGCCACGUUCAGUCUGGGUCCUGAGUUUGGGGAGGGGUGCGGAGAGCUGGGAGGGUCCCUGAGGACCGCCCACAGGCAUGAUGACAGGGACGGGGAGGAGGCUCUCUGGAUUGAGAUGAAAGGAGCCGUGGUUUGGCGCUUUCGUCUCGAGGAAAGCCAGCUGGAGGGUUCCGGUUAGUGGGGGCUGAUUACCCCUGUCCCUCGGCCAGCAGCCAGGGAUCCAUGGGCUCUAGUCCCACCUCUGGUGGAGCCCCAGCUGGUGUGCGGGUGCAGCCUGGCCAGCUUGCCUGGUCUGGGUCCCCGGCGUAUACUCCCCGCUUCCUUGCAGGAGCUGCUUCUGCCGGCUCCGGGUGGCUCCAGGAGAAAGGUCAAGGCAAGACCUGGCAGGCUGAGGGCUUUGGUCCUUAGAGACCCUGCCUGGAGGUUGACCCUCGUCAUCGAGGUUGGCUUCUGUUUUUUGCCUCCUCCACCUGGGACAGGAUAGGACGGAGAAGCCUCCGGGAUGCCCCCCACCCCGUACCCCUUCCCAUUCUCUCCCUUUCCCAUCCUCUUUCUUUUCCUGUUUUGUCUUCUCUGUUCCUUUCCGCAUACCAGGUAGUAGGUGAUGUGGAAAUUCACAAAGCAGUGCACCUCUCUUCACAGUUUAUCGACAUCCAGAGCCUGGUAAGGAACCAGCACUCAAUUUCACUCAAGUCGCCUUUAGUGAAGGACUUUCUGCAUGGCCCUGUGGCAGAGCUCAUGAACGGGGACCACACCUGACGUUUCUCCCUAGCAUUGUCAAGACCAGCCUGUCUCCCAUAUUUGCCGACGUCCACCAAGGGGCACUAAUAUUUGUUCUGGGGCAUUGGAUAAAACAUGCCACAAAGAUUAAGUAGAAAAACAUGUAGAAAACGCCUGGAGCAUCGUAGUCGUUAAAAAAAAAUAGUUACCAUUAUUUUUUAUUUUUUAACACAAUGAUUAUAUAAAAAGGGAGGACAGUGGUUUUUUGUUUUGUUUUAAAGAUUUUAUUUUUUCAUUGAG
This is a long non-coding RNA of Lutra lutra (Eurasian river otter), 6751 nucleotides long. RefSeq lists it as uncharacterized. The transcript has 7 exons. The record is from RefSeq and is a predicted model, not a curated record. NCBI's taxonomy places the organism in Eukaryota, Metazoa, Chordata, Mammalia, Carnivora, Mustelidae.